RNAcentral lists this ribosomal RNA (406 nucleotides) under uncultured bacterium. Its description in RNAcentral is "partial 16S ribosomal RNA". It matches the Rfam family "Bacterial small subunit ribosomal RNA", at positions 30 to 526 of the family's 1533-position model. The record is from RNAcentral.
AUUGAACGCUGGCGGCAGGCCUAACACAUGCAAGUCGAACGAGUGGCGGACGGGUGAGUAACGCGUGGUAACCUGCCUCAUAGCGGGGGAUAACUAUUGGAAACGAUAGCUAAUACCGCAUACUGUGAGAUGUACCUGCGUUGUAUUAGCUAGUUGGUGAGGUAAAGGCUCACAAAGGCGACGAUACAUAGCCGACCUGAGAGGAUGACCAGCAACACUGGAACUGAGAAACGGUCCAGACUCCUACGGGAGGCAGCAGUGGGGAAUAUUGCACAAUGGGCGCAAGCCGGAUGCAGCCAUGCCGCGUGUAUGAGGAGGGCCUUCGGGUUGUAAAGUACGUUCAACGGGGAGGCGUUACCCGAAGAAGAAGCACCGGCUAACUCCGUGCCAGCAGCCGCGGUAAUUC